Molecule: non-coding RNA, 1114 nt
Organism: Procambarus clarkii (red swamp crayfish)
Lineage: Eukaryota; Metazoa; Arthropoda; Malacostraca; Decapoda; Cambaridae
Source: RefSeq, a predicted model, not a curated record
CGAUUUGUGGUUGUGACCUUACUGGUGGCAACAGUUGUCGGUCAGUUCGACCAACGGCGGCGCCGGCCACCAUUUCCGUUUCCAUUUCCACCACAACCAUUUCCACCACCACCAUUUCCACCAUCAACACCACAACCAGAUCUAGAUGGUUGUAACUAUUAUUGCAUAAAGCCUGCAGGACCUAAUGCGAACGCAGCAUACUGCUGCGGCCCACCAGGACUUCCUGUACUAAAGGAAGAGAUUCAUGCUGGUAAAUGUCCUUCUGCCUUGUCUAUCUGCACGAGGGCUCCGACUUUUUUUGCUCGGGAUAUUUCUCGUAAUAUUCCGAUUCCACAGGUGUGUCCACAUGACGGACACUGUCCCCGUAACCAGAAGUGUUGCUUUGACACCUGCCUUGAUAUACACACCUGCAAACCUACCCAGUAAGGUCUAUUAACUUCAAGACGAGAGCAAGACUGUUGCUCAGCUGCAAGCAGUCCAUAGAUGUGAACAUGUGAUUGGAAAAUUACUUGCUUAAAUAUUUAAGAUUAAAGGUCUCAAUCUCAAUUGAGUUUGUAGGCCAUUGAGAUCCCUGUCUCAAUAGGCUGCAAGUUCAUCACCGUACUAUUUAUUAUUUGCAUAUAUAAUGUACCCUGAGAAUCACAACACUUGUGUAAUUACUCAGAGCUACUCAGAGCAGUGAAUAUGUGGCCGCCAUGGGUAAGUCCGGUUAAGGCCAGCACUGAAUGGGUGACAACGAGGAAAGCCUCGUCCUUAAUAAGGGCGAGGCUUUCCUUAAUAACUCUUGAAGCCUAUAGCAGCCGCUCGAUCCUGACAACAAUAUACCAUAACGGAACAUAUUCCUAAAUAUUAGUAAUUUGCCUUAUUAUUUGUCAAUUCCGGGUUCGGGGUUGCACAUAUUUGUAUUAAGAAUGCACUUAAUAAAUUAAAUAAUUUGGUUUUAAGGUGUUUUACAAAAUCGUUCGAUCAGGCUAGCUCAGACAUUCAGUGCUUCACUGAUAAAUUUUGUUAGAACCACAACGCUAUAAAUGCUUCUCCCACGUACUACCAAUACAAAUAAUCGCCAUCAAAACCUAAACACAUAACCUAACCUAUGCCUAUAUAUGCAUAAUAU